Molecule: transfer RNA, 76 nt
Filed under: Desulfobacterales bacterium
Lineage: Bacteria; Pseudomonadati; Thermodesulfobacteriota; Desulfobacteria; Desulfobacterales
Also listed under: 2 other names
Description: tRNA-Arg
Rfam family: tRNA
About the family: Transfer RNA (tRNA) molecules are approximately 80 nucleotides in length. Their secondary structure includes four short double-helical elements and three loops (D, anti-codon, and T loops). Further hydrogen bonds mediate the characteristic L-shaped molecular structure. tRNAs have two regions of fundamental functional importance: the anti-codon, which is responsible for specific mRNA codon recognition, and the 3' end, to which the tRNAs corresponding amino acid is attached (by aminoacyl-tRNA synthetases). tRNAs cope with the degeneracy of the genetic code in two manners: having more than one tRNA (with a specific anti-codon) for a particular amino acid; and 'wobble' base-pairing, i.e. permitting non-standard base-pairing at the 3rd anti-codon position.
Source: RNAcentral
GCGCCCGUAGCUCAGUGGAUAGAGCGUCAGCCUCCGGAGCUGGAAGUCGCUGGUUCGAGCCCAGCCGGGCGUACCA